This 709-nucleotide unclassified non-coding RNA is filed under the name Hevea brasiliensis (rubber tree). Lineage: Eukaryota; Viridiplantae; Streptophyta; Magnoliopsida; Malpighiales; Euphorbiaceae. The record is from RNAcentral.
UCAGAAUAAGAUUUUGACAGAUGAAAAACCCAGGAGCUGUAUAUUACACAAGCCAAAUUUUGUGCAAAGUGAAAUCCAGUUAUAGGUACCAACAACAAAUUCCCCUCUCAAAAAUAAUCAGAGGGUCUCACUUGAAAAUAAUUUAAACCAAUUCUUGCAAAAUCAAAAUACAAAGAGAGAACUGUUGAAUCCAGAAAGGUAUCAUAUCUAACACUUCCCAACUCUUGAGUAUCCAUCAUCAGCAAACACCACAAUCUUCAAUACAAACAUAUUGAAAAGAAAUUCCAACAAAUUAAUAACCUUGAUCAACGAGAUAAUCACCGAGCCUCUCAACAACCAGGUUACACUGGCCUGGAGUCAUUGGUUCAUCAUAGAUACCAAUAAGUAGAGCCUGAUUAGUCUUUUUGAUAGUAAUACCACCCGGUCCCUUCUUUCCUCGAAUGACAACCCCAGGUUCCCCUUGAAUGACCAUGUACUUUGAGCCACCAAGAUGCAGGCCAGUUGGUGCAAGUGAACCGGGCUCAUUAAAAUCGUUCAGGAUGGCAUCAAUCUCUGAGGGUUUGAACUGAGGGAAAGUUGAGCUUUUAGCCCAAACAGCGCCGUCAAGGCCGACGAUAGCGGCGGCGCUAAGGUGGUUCCCUUCGAUUUCACACAGGAGGUGAUCGUCGACAUAUACUUGCCACGACAUGAUUUUCCGAUGAGGAUUUUU